UACUAGAGUAGCACUCGCAUAUCAAUAAGCGGAGGAAAAGAAACUAACAAGGAUUCCCCUAGUAACGGCGAGUGAAGCGGGAAGAGCUUAAAUUUGAAAUCUUAAAGGGUUUCCCUUUACGAAUUGUAGUUUAAAGAAGUGUUUUCUGUUGAGGUUUUGGUAAAAGUUCUUUGGAAUAGGACAUCAUAGAGGGUGAGAAUCCCGUAUUUGACCUCUACUUUCAACUUUGUGAUACACUUUCAAAGAGUCGGAUUGUUUGGGAAUGCAGUCCAAAAUGGGUGGUAAAUUUCAUCUAAAGCUAAAUAUUGGCGAGAGACCGAUAGCGAACAAGUACCGUGAGGGAAAGAUGAAAAGAACUUUGAAAAGAGAGUUAAACAGUACGUGAAAUUGUCAAAAGGGAAGCGUUUGACACCAGUGUUGUUUUUCUGAAAAUCAAUUAAAGAACUGUUUAUGCUAAGCUGUUUAGACUUUAUCAGCUAUCUGUUUAGUUUUGAGCUUUUCUUUAAUGCACUUUUCAGUUAACAAGUCAACAUCAAUUUCUUUUGCUGUAAAAAAGCUUGAGGAAGGUGGCUUGAGAUUCGUCUUAAGUGUUUAUAGCCUCUUGCCUAUGCAGUCGGAGAGAUUGAGGUCUGCAGCGUAGAUCCUUCGGGGCUAAAUGCAUUUGUGCUAAGUUAUAGCAUUUUCAUAGACAACUUGUUGACUAUGAUUUGUCUUGUAGCUUACUCGCUUAUGUUAUUUUACCUACGCUUAGGAUGUUGAUCUCUCACAGUCGAGC
This 775-nucleotide ribosomal RNA is filed under the name uncultured Neocallimastigales. Its description in RNAcentral is "partial large subunit ribosomal RNA". It matches the Rfam family "Eukaryotic large subunit ribosomal RNA", at positions 20 to 645 of the family's 3401-position model. Lineage: Eukaryota; Fungi; Neocallimastigomycota; Neocallimastigomycetes; Neocallimastigales. The record is from RNAcentral.